CCUGGCGGCGACAGCGCGGUGGUCCCACCUGACCCCAUGCCGAACUCAGAAGUGAAACGCCGUAGCGCCGAUGGUAGUGUGGGGUCUCCCCAUGUGA
Molecule: ribosomal RNA, 97 nt
Filed under: Klebsiella pneumoniae
Lineage: Bacteria; Pseudomonadati; Pseudomonadota; Gammaproteobacteria; Enterobacterales; Enterobacteriaceae
Source: RNAcentral